CACGUAGGGGCCAAGCGUUGUCCGGAUUUAUUGGGCGUAAAGGGCUCGUAGGCGGCCAACUAAGUCAGACGUGAAAUCCCUCGGCUUAACCGGGGAACUGCGUCUGAUACUGGAUGGCUUGAGUUCGGGAGAGGGAUGCGGAAUUCCAGGUGUAGCGGUGAAAUGCGUAGAUAUCUGGAGGAACACCGGUGGCGAAGGCGGCAUCCUGGACCGGCAUUGACGCUGAUGAGCGAAAGCCAGGGGAGCAAACGGG
This 253-nucleotide ribosomal RNA is filed under the name uncultured bacterium. RNAcentral describes it as "partial 16S ribosomal RNA". It matches the Rfam family "Bacterial small subunit ribosomal RNA", at positions 524 to 776 of the family's 1533-position model. The record is from RNAcentral.